This 2949-nucleotide small RNA is filed under the name Caenorhabditis elegans. Its description in RNAcentral is "Unclassified non-coding RNA F18A12.10". The record is from RNAcentral. Lineage: Eukaryota; Metazoa; Nematoda; Chromadorea; Rhabditida; Rhabditidae.
GUUAUUCUGUCGAGAACGUGAUACGAUAAGCUUGGAAGAAACUCUCAAAGAUGUAUAUCCAACAGACAAUUUCCGUGUCAAUGGAGCAUAUGCCAGAGUUUGCGGAGGCGUUCAAUUGUCCGGUUAUAUCACCUAUGAAUCCGGAGAAGAAGUGUAAAAUGUUCUGAAACUUUGAGUGCUUUUGUUUUUGUGGAUUAUAAAAAAUUGAAAAAAAAUUGUGUAGUUUUUUUAAAUGAACAAUAAAAACUGCGCGGUUCUGUAAGGUUCAUCCGGCGACGACAAAAAAUCUAAUCUGCUUUUCCAACUAACAUCUUAUUCAGAAAUCCGGAGUUCAAACAGUCCCCGUGUGAGAAAAUAAAAUAUAUUUUGCGUGAAGAUGAACUUACAGUGACAAAAAUGUGCAACGUAAUGAUAAAAAUUAAAGUUCAAAUCAGUUCCAACUUUUCUUCACUUUGGUUUCAAGUGCUCUUUCCGAAAAGUGCUUUGUCAAUUUGGUUGGACAUAUUCUUUAAAAGAUGAAUGUUGAGAAAAUGAGAGAGAAGUUCUCCAGCCCCUGGAUCGCUUUGAACCUUUUACUUUUGAUGGUCUUCCUCGCUUUGGUGACUGUUCAUAUCAAAAUGACUGUUGAGGUGAAACCGGUGAAGUUAGAUGAGCUGUUGUCAAAUGCUGCUGACUCUAGAAAUCUCUGUGAAUCCCCGGAUUGUAUAACUCUCUCCCACGAACUGGUUUGUGAUUUCCAAAUUCAACUUAUAGUUCCAAGGCUUCAGCUCAACUACCAAGACCCAUCAGUGGAUCCGUGCGUGGACUUUUUUCAGCAUGCGUGUGGAAGAUUCCAUGAACAGUCUUCAGUUGAGUCAAGAACUCAGAAAAAGCGGUAUAUUCUUCAAAAACAGAUUCGAGGUUUGAAUGCUUCUCCAUCUCUUAUCAUUUUUGAAAUUCAGAGUUUCUACACAACAACAAGACUUCAACUUCAAAAUCCGAAAAUUUGAUGAAACUGGUAUUCGAUAAAUGUGAAGCGUUACAAAAGAGCCAAGUACAGUUUGGCGUACGAUUUCCAAACAUGAAAAAUUUUUCAGAAUACAGGUUAUCUUCAAGAAGUCCAUGAAGUAUUUAAUGAUAUCAAAAAAAUCGGUGCGUGGCCACUAUUGGAUAAGAAUUGGGAUGAAUCUAAAUUUGACUUGAAUGGUGAGGUGUAUUUUGUUACUAAAAUGUUAUUUUUCGUUCAGAAAUGCUGACAAAUCUAGUCAAACUGGGAGCAACCAACUUUGGACUAUUUCAAUUCAAUUUCUUGGGCUUAAUUAUGGGCAAUUUUGUGGAAAUUGCUCCAACUGAAAAGUCAGAUGUUGAAGAGAUUCAAGUGAAUUAGGUGAACCUGAACGAACUUCUGAAGAGGAUUUAAUUAAAAACGUUUUCAGAUGGUGUUGGAUAUUCUCAAAGGAAAUGGAAUUGAACCGGAUAGAGAAGAGAUAUCGAGGGAGUUGGAGGAAUACUCUAUGCUUGAAAAAAAGUUAAAAAUUGUAAGGAACAUAAGUCUGUCAGUUUUAAUUACCUGAACUUAAUUAAGGUAAAGGAGAAUGAAACAAUAUCUUUAAACUUGAUAUUGCCGGAUGUCAGAAGCGUAAACUUUUCGGGUCUUAUAGCGGAGAUGAGUCACCCAAGCAGGGUUAGCAAGCUUUCUGGAAUGAUAACACCAAAGAUUAUCACAAAUAAACAUCCAUUGUUAUUCGAGACUAAUGGAACAGAAAGUGUGAGUCUAGUAGAACUGUUGCAGAAUUCUGAAAAUGUGUAAUUUGUUUCAGCUUGAUGCAAUUAUUGAAUCUACAUCAAAUAGAACAUUGGCUAACUAUCUGAUUUUUAAUUAUAUCCAGUCAUCCCGCGAUAUUUUGACAGAAACUUAUGAAAAUUGUGAACAGGUAUAAACAUUUUUUUUGUAACGCAAUAUCAAAGGCUUUUAAUUCAGGUUGUAAUGGAAGAACUUCCACGUGCAUCACUCCGAGUUUUCAUGCGAAACUUCGUUGACAAGGGUAACCGAGAUGGAGUAAAGAAGCUGACGGAGGAAUUGAAAAAGAAAUGCUCUGGAAAUGAUUCGAGAUACGGAAACUUUUACACCAUCAGUCAAAGAAAGAGUCUUGAAGAAAGUUGAAGCAAUCAAAGUUAUCAUUGGCUAUCCUGAUCAUUUUGAUCCUCCUGGAACAUUGGACAAAGAGUUUGAACACGUAAGUGGUAGCUUUUACAACAACUUCCUUCGUCGUUUAUUGAUCAGCAUAUGUAUUUGUUGUACAUAGAGACUUUCAGAUUGAUUUGGACUCCACCGACUCCUUCUAUAGAAUAUCUCAAAAACUUCAUCGACUCCGUACUGAACAACAAAUGGAGUUCAUCGCUGGAGAGACCCCCAUCAGCCCUGUCGAAAAUGUUCUAGAAGUGAGUGCUCAUUACGAUCCUUCGAAAAACGCUCUAAGUGAGUUAUCUUUCCUUUCACUAGACUAUUCAUUAUUUUGAAGCCUUUCUUGCUCCAUUCCUCGACGAUCCAUUUUUCGAUACCACGUAUCCCGACUAUGCGAAUCUUUUCUUAUCUGGCAGGAUUAUUGCGCAUGAAAUAGGGCAUUCCGUUGAUGGGACUUCACUUUGAUGAAAAUGGGAAACUUGUGGAUUGGAUUAGACGCGAAAAUAUAGAGUAUAAGAUACAGGCUGAAUGUCUGAUAGAUCAAUAUGAUAACUACGCUGAUCCGGUCUACGGCAAAAAGGUGAGAAGAGAAUGGAACGAACUUCCAGGCACAAAGAGUUUUUCAGAUGAAUGGAACACAUACAUUCGGAGAGAUGAUUGCUGAUUGGGUUGGACAUGAAGUAACCUGGCGGGCCUAUAAGAAGAUGGAUACUUCAAAAAUGCAUUCACUUAUUGGCCUCAAGGAUAUCAAUAUGGAUCAGCUUUAUUUCAGAGUUCAGUCACUG